This is a long non-coding RNA of Colossoma macropomum (tambaqui), 480 nucleotides long. RefSeq lists it as uncharacterized. Lineage: Eukaryota; Metazoa; Chordata; Actinopteri; Characiformes; Serrasalmidae. The transcript has 3 exons. The record is from RefSeq and is a predicted model, not a curated record.
GCACAGCUUGGUCGUCAGUCUCCUGAAACACUAAAACAAUAAAGCUGACAACAUAAGGAAGUAGAUUAGGAGUCCUCGGUCAUCAAAAUGUGGAGCAUAUGUGAAACCUAUGAAAUCUAUUGCUCUUUGAGAAAUCAUUCCAUAGAUGUUUGCUCUUAUAUAGAAAUGGAAACCAAAGCAUCUGGCAGUGGCAUGGCUACAGCGCAUGAUCCUUGGGCGCAUGGUUUUUAUUUAGCUUGUUUAGCUUUUAAGAGUAGAUGCUGGAAAACAGCGGAAACACGAUUUAGGCGACUGGGACACUGAAAGAGACAUCACAACAGGAAGGCGGUUUAGAUGUGGCACUUCAACCUGAAAAACUGAACUGUUGCAUGAAAACGACAGAGCAGAAGCAUUCGACGGUGGUGAAAAAGUGAAGUGGCAGCAGUGGUGAUGAUGUUGACAUAUAUGAAUGAUUGUGGCGUGCGCCCGCCCCCCCGGGCC